RNAcentral lists this ribosomal RNA (637 nucleotides) under Enterobacter cloacae complex sp. 2022EL-00788. RNAcentral's name for it is "partial 23S ribosomal RNA". It matches the Rfam family "Bacterial large subunit ribosomal RNA", at positions 2189 to 2824 of the family's 2925-position model. The record is from RNAcentral. Lineage: Bacteria; Pseudomonadati; Pseudomonadota; Gammaproteobacteria; Enterobacterales; Enterobacteriaceae.
ACCUUGAAAUACCACCCUUUAAUGGCUGGUGUUCUAACGUAGACCCGUAAUCCGGGUUGCGGACAGUGUCUGGUGGGUAGUUUGACUGGGGCGGUCUCCUCCCAAAGAGUAACGGAGGAGCACGAAGGUUGGCUAAUCCUGGUCGGACAUCAGGAGGUUAGUGCAAUGGCAUAAGCCAGCUUGACUGCGAGCGUGACGGCGCGAGCAGGUGCGAAAGCAGGUCAUAGUGAUCCGGUGGUUCUGAAUGGAAGGGCCAUCGCUCAACGGAUAAAAGGUACUCCGGGGAUAACAGGCUGAUACCGCCCAAGAGUUCAUAUCGACGGCGGUGUUUGGCACCUCGAUGUCGGCUCAUCACAUCCUGGGGCUGAAGUAGGUCCCAAGGGUAUGGCUGUUCGCCAUUUAAAGUGGUACGCGAGCUGGGUUUAGAACGUCGUGAGACAGUUCGGUCCCUAUCUGCCGUGGGCGCUGGAGAAUUGAGGGGGGCUGCUCCUAGUACGAGAGGACCGGAGUGGACGCAUCACUGGUGUUCGGGUUGUCAUGCCAAUGGCACUGCCCGGUAGCUAAAUGCGGAAGAGAUAAGUGCUGAAAGCAUCUAAGCACGAAACUUGCCCCGAGAUGAGUUCUCCCUGAGACUUUA